Molecule: transfer RNA, 73 nt
Organism: Guillardia theta CCMP2712
Lineage: Eukaryota; Cryptophyceae; Pyrenomonadales; Geminigeraceae
Rfam family: tRNA
About the family: Transfer RNA (tRNA) molecules are approximately 80 nucleotides in length. Their secondary structure includes four short double-helical elements and three loops (D, anti-codon, and T loops).
Source: Rfam
GCUCUCAUAGCGCAGUUGGUAGCGCGUCGCUCUGAUAAGGCGAAGGUCAUCGGUUCGAGCCCGGUUGAGAGCA